This 649-nucleotide ribosomal RNA is filed under the name Rhizopus arrhizus. RNAcentral's name for it is "eukaryotic LSU rRNA". The stretch from base 248 to 401 matches the Rfam family "5.8S ribosomal RNA". The record is from RNAcentral. Lineage: Eukaryota; Fungi; Mucoromycota; Mucoromycetes; Mucorales; Rhizopodaceae.
GGAAGUAAAAGUCGUAACAAGGUUUCCGUAGGUGAACCUGCGGAAGGAUCAUUAAUUAUGUUAAAGCGCCUUACCUUAGGGUUUCCUCUGGGGUAAGUGAUUGCUUCUACACUGUGAAAAUUUGGCUGAGAGACUCAGACUGGUCAUGGGUAGACCUAUCUGGGGUUUGAUCGAUGCCACUCCUGGUUUCAGGAGUACCCUUCAUAAUAAACCUAGAAAUUCAGUAUUAUAAAGUUUAAUAAAAAACAACUUUUAACAAUGGAUCUCUUGGUUCUCGCAUCGAUGAAGAACGUAGCAAAGUGCGAUAACUAGUGUGAAUUGCAUAUUCAGUGAAUCAUCGAGUCUUUGAACGCAGCUUGCACUCUAUGGUUUUUCUAUAGAGUACGCCUGCUUCAGUAUCAUCACAAACCCACACAUAACAUUUGUUUAUGUGGUGAUGGGUCGCAUCGCUGUUUUAUUACAGUGAGCACCUAAAAUGUGUGUGAUUUUCUGUCUGGCUUGCUAGGCAGGAAUAUUACGCUGGUCUCAGGAUCUUUUUUUUUGGUUCGCCCAGGAAGUAAAGUACAAGAGUAUAAUCCAGUAACUUUCAAACUAUGAUCUGAAGUCAGGUGGGAUUACCCGCUGAACUUAAGCAUAUCAAUAAGCGGAG